AUUGAACGCUGGCGGCAGGCUUAACACAUGCAAGUCGAGCGGAGAUGAGGUGCUUGCACCUUAUCUUAGCGGCGGACGGGUGAGUAAUGCUUAGGAAUCUGCCUAUUAGUGGGGGACAACAUUCCGAAAGGAAUGCUAAUACCGCAUACGUCCUACGGGAGAAAGCAGGGGAUCUUCGGACCUUGCGCUAAUAGAUGAGCCUAAGUCGGAUUAGCUAGUUGGUGGGGUAAAGGCCUACCAAGGCGACGAUCUGUAGCGGGUCUGAGAGGAUGAUCCGCCAGACUGGGACUGAGACACGGCCCAGAGUCCUACGGGAGGCAGCAGUGGGGAAUAUUGGACAAUGGGGGAAACCCCGAUCUAGCCAUGCCGCGUGUGUGAAGAAGGCCUUAUGGUUGUAAAGCACUUUAAGCGAGGAGGAGGCUACUGAGACUAAUACUCUUGGAUAGUGGACGUUACUCGCAGAAUAAGCACCGGCUAACUCUGUGCCAGCCGCCGCCGUAA
This 501-nucleotide ribosomal RNA is filed under the name uncultured bacterium. Its description in RNAcentral is "partial 16S ribosomal RNA". It matches the Rfam family "Bacterial small subunit ribosomal RNA", at positions 30 to 523 of the family's 1533-position model. The record is from RNAcentral.